Molecule: ribosomal RNA, 2900 nt
Filed under: Cronobacter sakazakii ATCC BAA-894
Lineage: Bacteria; Pseudomonadati; Pseudomonadota; Gammaproteobacteria; Enterobacterales; Enterobacteriaceae
Description: bacterial LSU rRNA
Rfam family: Bacterial large subunit ribosomal RNA
Source: RNAcentral
UUAAGCGAACAAGCGUACACGGUGGAUGCCCUGGCAGUCAGAGGCGAUGAAGGACGUGCUAAUCUGCGAAAAGCGCCGGUAAGGUGAUAUGAACCGUUAUAACCGGCGAUGUCCGAAUGGGGAAACCCGGUGCACUUCGGUGCAUCAUCGUUAGCUGAAUACAUAGGCUAACGAAGCGAACCGGGGGAACUGAAACAUCUAAGUACCCCGAGGAAAAGAAAUCAACCGAGAUUCCCCCAGUAGCGGCGAGCGAACGGGGAACAGCCCAGAGCCUGAAUCAGCUUGUGUGUCAGUGGAACGGUCUGGAAAGGCCGGCGAUACAGGGUGACAGCCCCGUACACGAAGGCACACAGGCUGUGAGCUCGAUGAGUAGGGCGGGACACGUGAUAUCCUGUCUGAAGAUGGGGGGACCAUCCUCCAAGGCUAAAUACUCCUGACUGACCGAUAGUGAACCAGUACCGUGAGGGAAAGGCGAAAAGAACCCCGGCGAGGGGAGUGAAACAGAACCUGAAACCGUGUACGUACAAGCAGUGGGAGCCUUCGUAAGAGGGUGACUGCGUACCUUUUGUAUAAUGGGUCAGCGACUUAUAUUCUGUAGCAAGGUUAACCGUAUAGGGGAGCCGAAGGGAAACCGAGUCUUAAUUGGGCGUUAAGUUGCAGGGUAUAGACCCGAAACCCGGUGAUCUAGCCAUGGGCAGGUUGAAGGUUGGGUAACACUAACUGGAGGACCGAACCGACUAAUGUUGAAAAAUUAGCGGAUGACCUGUGGCUGGGGGUGAAAGGCCAAUCAAACCGGGAGAUAGCUGGUUCUCCCCGAAAGCUAUUUAGGUAGCGCCUCGUGAACUCAUCUCCGGGGGUAGAGCACUGUUUCGGCUAGGGGGCCAUCCCGGCUUACCAACCCGAUGCAAACUGCGAAUACCGGAGAAUGUUAUCACGGGAGACACACGGCGGGUGCUAACGUCCGUCGUGAAGAGGGAAACAACCCAGACCGCCAGCUAAGGUCCCAAAGUCAUGGUUAAGUGGGAAACGAUGUGGGAAGGCCCAGACAGCCAGGAUGUUGGCUUAGAAGCAGCCAUCAUUUAAAGAAAGCGUAAUAGCUCACUGGUCGAGUCGGCCUGCGCGGAAGAUGUAACGGGGCUAAACCAUGCACCGAAGCUGCGGCAGCGACACUGUGUGUUGUUGGGUAGGGGAGCGUUCUGUAAGCCUGCGAAGGUGUGCUGUGAGGCAUGCUGGAGGUAUCAGAAGUGCGAAUGCUGACAUAAGUAACGAUAAAGCGGGUGAAAAGCCCGCUCGCCGGAAGACCAAGGGUUCCUGUCCAACGUUAAUCGGGGCAGGGUGAGUCGACCCCUAAGGCGAGGCCGAAAGGCGUAGUCGAUGGGAAACAGGUUAAUAUUCCUGUACUUGGUGUUACUGCGAAGGGGGGACGGAGAAGGCUAUGUCGGCCGGGCGACGGUUGUCCCGGUUUAAGCGUGUAGGCUGACUUUCCAGGCAAAUCCGGAAAGUUAAGGCUGAGGCGUGAUGACGAGGCACCACGGUGCUGAAGUGACAAAUGCCCUGCUUCCAGGAAAAGCCUCUAAGCAUCAGGUAACAUCAAAUCGUACCCCAAACCGACACAGGUGGUCAGGUAGAGAAUACCAAGGCGCUUGAGAGAACUCGGGUGAAGGAACUAGGCAAAAUGGUGCCGUAACUUCGGGAGAAGGCACGCUGACAUGUAGGUGAAGCCCCUGCGGGUGGAGCUGAAGUCAGUCGAAGAUACCAGCUGGCUGCAACUGUUUAUUAAAAACACAGCACUGUGCAAACACGAAAGUGGACGUAUACGGUGUGACGCCUGCCCGGUGCCGGAAGGUUAAUUGAUGGGGUUAUCGCAAGAGAAGCUCCUGAUCGAAGCCCCGGUAAACGGCGGCCGUAACUAUAACGGUCCUAAGGUAGCGAAAUUCCUUGUCGGGUAAGUUCCGACCUGCACGAAUGGCGUAAUGAUGGCCAGGCUGUCUCCACCCGAGACUCAGUGAAAUUGAACUCGCUGUGAAGAUGCAGUGUACCCGCGGCAAGACGGAAAGACCCCGUGAACCUUUACUACAGCUUGACACUGAACAUUGAGCCUUGAUGUGUAGGAUAGGUGGGAGGCUUUGAAGCGUGGACGCCAGUCUGCGUGGAGCCGACCUUGAAAUACCACCCUUUAAUGUUUGAUGUUCUAACCUGGCGCCGUGAUCCGGCGUGGGGACAGUGUCUGGUGGGUAGUUUGACUGGGGCGGUCUCCUCCCAAAGUGUAACGGAGGAGCACGAAGGUCAGCUAAUCCUGGUCGGACAUCAGGAGGUUAGUGCAAUGGCAUAAGCUGGCUUGACUGCGAGAGUGACGGCUCGAGCAGGUGCGAAAGCAGGUCAUAGUGAUCCGGUGGUUCUGUAUGGAAGGGCCAUCGCUCAACGGAUAAAAGGUACUCCGGGGAUAACAGGCUGAUACCGCCCAAGAGUUCAUAUCGACGGCGGUGUUUGGCACCUCGAUGUCGGCUCAUCACAUCCUGGGGCUGAAGUAGGUCCCAAGGGUAUGGCUGUUCGCCAUUUAAAGUGGUACGCGAGCUGGGUUUAGAACGUCGUGAGACAGUUCGGUCCCUAUCUGCCGUGGGCGCUGGAGAAUUGAGGGGGGCUGCUCCCAGUACGAGAGGACCGGAGUGGACGCAUCACUGGUGUUCGGGUUGUCAUGCCAAUGGCACUGCCCGGUAGCUAAAUGCGGAAGAGAUAAGUGCUGAAAGCAUCUAAGCACGAAACUUGCCCCGAGAUGAGUUCUCCCUGAGACUGUAAGUCUCCUGAAGGAACGUUGAAGACGACGACGUUGAUAGGCCGGGUGUGUAAGCGCAGCGAUGCGUUGAGCUAACCGGUACUAAUGAACCGUGAGGCUUAACCUU